UAAAAUACAUACAUCAACAUAUGAAAAAAUAAAAACACUUUUAAUCCCUUACCUACUUACCAUGUUGACACAGGUUAAUGGUGAUAAUAUCCAAUCACAGAAGGAAAAGAUAACUUUCUUUUCUUUGUGUUUCAACCAAACCCAAGAUUGGACUUGCGCCAUAGUGAAAAUCUCCUCUGCGUCUACCUUUGCUUGUUUAAAGAUAACCCUGUUCCUAUGCUUCCAAAUGCUCCAUACUAUGGAGACCCAAAGGCUUUUCCAUAACCUAUUGCCCUCUUUGUUAGAGCACAUACAAUAGAAUUGUUCAAAAUGAAAAAUCAGUUCUUUGUGAUUCACAGAACUAAUUCCCAACCAUCUAA
This 359-nucleotide long non-coding RNA is filed under the name Phaseolus vulgaris (common bean). Its description in RNAcentral is "long non-coding RNA (PVUL_LNC002122)". The record is from RNAcentral. Lineage: Eukaryota; Viridiplantae; Streptophyta; Magnoliopsida; Fabales; Fabaceae.